This 288-nucleotide ribosomal RNA is filed under the name uncultured bacterium. RNAcentral's name for it is "partial 16S ribosomal RNA". It matches the Rfam family "Bacterial small subunit ribosomal RNA", at positions 773 to 1060 of the family's 1533-position model. The record is from RNAcentral.
GUGGCUUAGAUACCCGGGUAGUCCAUGCCGUAAACGGUGGGCGCUAGGUGUGGGGUUCCUUCCACGGGCUCCGCGCCGUAGCUAACGCAUUAAGCGCCCCGCCUGGGGAGUACGGCCGCAAGGCUAAAACUCAAAGAAAUUGACGGGGGCCCGCACAAGCGGCGGAGCAUGUGGAUUAAUUCGAUGCAACGCGAAGAACCUUACCUGGGCUUGACAUAUAGAGGAUCGCUACAGAGAUGUGGUUUCCCUUGUGGCUUCUAUACAGGUGGUGCACGGUCGUCGACAACU